This is an RNA transcript of Rosa rugosa (rugosa rose), 1783 nucleotides long. RefSeq lists it as uncharacterized. Lineage: Eukaryota; Viridiplantae; Streptophyta; Magnoliopsida; Rosales; Rosaceae. The record is from RefSeq and is a predicted model, not a curated record. The transcript has 4 exons.
UUGAUGUUUUGCAUUCCUUUUAGUAAUGCCUUUUCUAACAUGUUGCUGCAGGAAUAUAAGGAGAAGCCAGAUUAUGCACGUUGUGUUGCUAUUGUAGCAUCUGCAUCUUUGAGGGAGAUGAUAAAACCUGGUGCCUUGGCUAUUAUUUCACCUAUAGCAGUUGGUAUUGCGUUCCGGAUAUUUGGAUACUAUCCGGAGGCAAAGGAAGUGAUUGUCAUAAGGCUGCAAUUACAGGAGACAUAGUGGGAGACCCAUUCAAAGACACAGCUAGACCUUCACUUCAUGACCCAUUCAAUAACUUGAUUAUACUAUUCAGCUGUGUUGUUAUAUAUUUGGAUAGCUUACUAAUACUCUUAUACACAGACAUUGAUAAUGGGGAAUAGGGACUAUAUAGAUGAAAUGUCUACUGGAAAUGCUAGUGUGCUUACUACAGUGUUGAAAAUGAUUGAUAAGUACGAUCUUUAUGGGCAAGUGGCCUAUCCAAAGCAUCACAAGCAAUCAGAUGUUCCAGAUAUUUAACGGCUUGCAGCAAAAACGAAGGUUUAGUUGAUGUUUUAGAUAGAAAUAUACAUAGGGUUUAACAAAUAUAUUCUGUUCUAAAGGUUUUAAACCUUGGCAGGGAGUUUUCAUAAAUCCAGCAUUAGUGGAACCAUUUGGGCUAACCUUGAUUGAGGUUAGUAUUUACUGCAUACCAUCUUUUGCUGUGAUCUUUGUCUUCUCCAUAAAGUGACAAUUCUCCCAUCCAAUAUAUAUUUUUGUAUCAUUUAGGCGGCAGCACACGGGCUUCCGAUGGUGGCUACAAAAAAUGGUGGACCGGUUGAUAUACAUCGGGUAUAGAUUACCUAACUUUCACAUUUGUGCAACGUAUACCUCCUAUUUGUUAGUUGUUAUGAAUUGAAUCUGUCCUACAACUCAUUAACCUAGUAGGAAGAUGGCAACAUAAUAAGAGAAGUUUCAAAAUUCGAUAAAUAGUUGUUAUAGUUCCUACUUUUCUACUUUCUGCAGUCUGGCUACUUAAUUCAUGGAAGCUAUGAGAAAGUAGAUAGAAAUUUCAUUUAUGAUACACAAGGUUACUUUCUUAUGUCAUGUUGUGAAUUUCAAAUGAGUUUUCUUUAUCUACUGGACUUGCUGACAAGUGUUCUUUAAUUUCAGCCUUCUUCUCUUUUGGUUAUUAAAAUCAAAGUGACUUAUUCAAGUUGAUAAAUAAUUGACAUCUUCAGCUGCAAUGUUAUAUUUGAGUAGUGUUUCCUUGUCAAUUUAUAUUACUUUGGAUCUCUGGUUUUCUUUCACAAGUGCAGAAGCAACUGUUGAGCUUUAACCUCAAUUUGUAGUUAUUUUUCUGAUGCUAAAAAGUAAUUAAAAGCAUGCUUUCUGUCUUUCACUUUCUGGUGCAUGCUGGGUUAGAAACUUAGUUAUAAAAAUUGUUUUGUCGUACCUACUGAGCUUGUGAAGCUCAUUCCCUAUACUCUUGUUGUUUUCAGGUAGUCCAUGAGUGGACAUUUAAGUGAUAUUCUGGAGCUUUCUUGAGUGGAAGAUUGCUUGGUUUUACUUUGUGUUGUAUCGUGCCAAUGAGUUGUUAGUACUGACAGAUAAGCAAAUAGUUGCCAAGGUGACAUCUUACCUGCCAAAGGGCAUCAAGGACUUCGAGAAUGCUGCUGUGAUAAAUAAGGACAAGUUUUAUGUUUUCCUGCUCUAUGUAUUUAUAUGCACUUAGGGAAUGUUAAUUCCUAUGUAAAUGUUGAGAUGAAUAUUGCUGAUGGAAUGAAAUGAUUUUUGGAAUCAA